GUGAACGCUGGCGGUGCGCCUAAGACAUGCAAGUCGAGUGGGUUCAGACCCACGGCGAACGGCUGCGUAACACGUGGGUACCUGCCCCGAACUCAGGGAUACCCCCGCGAAAGCGGGACUAAUACCGGAUGCCCUCGCAAGAGGAAAGAUUUUUCGGUUCGGGAGGGGCCUGCGGCCUAUCAGCUCGUUGGUAAGGUAACGGCUUACCAAGGCUAUGACGGGUAGCUGGUUUGAGAGAACGACCAGCCAGAAUGGAACUGAGACACGGUCCAUACUCCUACGGGAGGCAGCAGUUAGGAAUAUUCCGCAAUGGGCGAAAGCCUGACGGAGCGACACCGCGUGAAGGAUGAAGCCCUUUUUGGGUGUAAACUUCUGUUGUGAGGGACGAAAUUUUUGACGGUACCUCACGAGAAAGCACCGGCUAAUUCUGU
This 431-nucleotide ribosomal RNA is filed under the name uncultured bacterium. RNAcentral's name for it is "bacterial SSU rRNA". It matches the Rfam family "Bacterial small subunit ribosomal RNA", at positions 29 to 506 of the family's 1533-position model. The record is from RNAcentral.